Molecule: long non-coding RNA, 2424 nt
Filed under: Mus musculus (house mouse)
Lineage: Eukaryota; Metazoa; Chordata; Mammalia; Rodentia; Muridae
Description: long non-coding RNA chr3:115889260-115891684
Source: RNAcentral
GGAAGGUUUUUUUGUUUUGUUUUGUUUUUUUAAAUUGUCAAGUCUUCCAUAUAAAAGUGUGGGCCAGAGAACUUCCGGUCAUAUCUCUCAGAUUCACAACUCAGAAUUUUGAAGGUUUCAGGGUUAUGUUAAAAAUCUUGAAUCCUAAAUAGGCUUCUUCUUAAGUUGGUCAUGAAUUAGAAAAAAAAAAAAAAAAGUAGUGUUUAAUGGUCAGUUUGACUUGCUGGCCACACUUGUCGGUGUUUAUACUUACUUCAAGAUGAUAGAAAUAUGUCUUGGAUCAGUGAUCAGAAACUAUAAUGGACCUAAAACCAUUUGAGAAAAUAGAUAACUGGCAGGUUAAUCGAAUAGAAUAUUAAACACAGCCAGGGCUACACAGAGAAACCCUGUCUCUAAAACAAAAACAAAAACCAAAAACAAACAAAAAGGGAAGACAGGCAGUCGUGGCACACACCUUUAAUCCCAGCACUUGGGAGGCAGAGGCAGGCAGGUUUCUGAGUUCAAGGCCAGCCUGGUCUACAGAGUAAGUUCCAGGACAGACAGGGCUACACAGAGAAAUCCUGUCUCAACCCCCCACCCCCAAAAAAGCAAAAAACAAAAGAAUAUUAGACAAUAGCUUAGAGCAAAAUUGGGACAUAACUUGUUUUGCCUUGUGACAUGUCCCUGGACAAUUCCUUUACAUUUAAUUUCUUAUAAAUUGAGGUCAGGAUGUGUUUGCCUUCUAGGCUCUUAGAACAGUGUCCAUCACAAAAGUUUUCAGACAUUUUAGCUGCUAGCAGAUAUAUUUCCAAAUUUCUAAAUGCUAGUUUCUCCAUUUGUCAAAGAAAAAAUAACCAAUUGAAAGUUAUAUAGUAUUUAUUAAGGUGUAUGUGAAAAUGCUUUAUAAAUUAUAAGUGUUAGUAAAUAUUAAUUUUUCAAGGUUUUCCCCUAAGCAUAAAUGUAAUUAUUAGGGGUCUGGGCUUACCUUACCUAUAAGUAAAUUUUGUGUAGUUUUUUUAAGGUACCAGAAUAUCUGUUAUUUCAUAGUGAUAAGUGUUGAUAUUUUUGGAACAUUUAUUUUGCUGUUUUGUUUAUUUUCCUGACAGUGCUUGGAAUUGAACCCAAGGUCUCUCAACAUGCUCCACAAUUGCUUUGCCACAGAGCUACAAUACCCAGCCCUCUAUAGUUACUGCUCCCAUUUUGUGGGAUGUUCCAAAAACUUGUCCAGUAUCAUACAGAUAGUGACAGAACAACAUUCAAACUAAAGUAUCUCUGAGUUGAGAAUUAUCCUUCCAGACUUUCAUACAUUCUCUCUGCAUUCUUAGCUUUAGAUAGUAACUACACAAAGUAUAACAGAGAAGUUAUAGCAAGCAAAAUGGUUUGGACUGGAUCUUAUUUUAUUACAGAAUUCUUCUAGUAUUGUCUUCAUGUCCUCCAGGUUCUUAGUUCCUGUUCUUCCCCGAGUAGCUUGCCACAGGAUCCCAUCUGUACCAUCCGCCUCAAGUCACUCAUUUAUAAGUUCAUGCCUUAUAUUUCCAGUACAAUUGUAGAACCUCUUUCUCUUCAGUCUUCUUCUGUUUUUCACUUGCACAUUUUCUUGUUAAAACAAACUGAUUUUUUUUAAACUGUUGAUGUAUAUCUUUAUGAAGUCUGGUUUCAGCUAAAGAUCAUUAUAUUGCAGGGAAAAGAUAGUUCUAUUUUCUAUAAUGAACAUAUGCUUUCAUUUUGUUAAUAAUCAGCCAGUCAAGAUUUUAUAAAAGACACAUACAGAUGUUGGUAAAGAAAUUCCAAGUUUGUCUGUUCGCUGUUGUUGUAGUGUUUUAAUAUAGUCUCCAAAAGAAGUGUAGAGAUAGCAGACCUGAGAAAGAGUUAUCAUCAUUUUUGGUAUAUGCAACUUUAGCUUCCUUCAGGUAAUUACUGUUGAUCCUUUAAAUCUUACAUGCUUAUUCGUUGAAUGCAUUUGUACUUUAUAUAAAAAUGUAUAAGCAGUAGAGUCUACAAGUGGUUCAGGGUCUGUCUGCAUUAUACCUAAGAAAACUUAAUGAAAGACUUAAGUUAUUUAUAAAAGUAGUGGGAGGAAGAAACUAUAACAUGUCUGUAAAUAACUGAAAUAAAUAGCUGGUUAUUUAAACCGGUGUCUUGGAAACCCAUAAUCUAAACCAGUUCCUGAGCCCACAUGGGAAAAGAAGGGAACCAACUCCUUCCGGUUGUCCUCUGACCUCCGUAUGUAAGAGCCCGGAUUAUGUUUAGCAUUACGUUGGUGGCAUGUGGCUUCUUGAUUGUUUUCAGGGUACGUUAGUUGAGUAAAGACCAUUGUACUUGGUAUCCAGUGACCACGUGUGUUCUCUGAGAUAUAUGGAUACAGUCGUCCUGGGACUGUAAGUUUUCUGGUUUCUAAAGUGGAAGUUAAACAUGUAAAGAAUAAUGAUUAAGAAAAAGGCACAC